Molecule: ribosomal RNA, 365 nt
Filed under: uncultured bacterium
Lineage: Bacteria
Description: partial 16S ribosomal RNA
Rfam family: Bacterial small subunit ribosomal RNA
Source: RNAcentral
CCUACGGGUGACAGCAGUGAGGAAUAUUGGUCAAUGGGCGGAAGCCUGAACCAGCCAAGUAGCGUGCGGGAUGAAGGCCCGACGGGUCGUAAACCGCUGUUGCACGGGGAUAACACCCGGCACGUGUGGAGGUCUGCAGGUACCGUGCGAAUAAGGGCCGGCUAAGUCCGUGCCAGCAGCCGCGGUAAUACGGAAGGCGCGUGCGUUAUCCGGAUUGAUUGGGCUUAAGGGGAGCGUAGGCGGGCGUUAAAGUCAGCUGUCAAAUCGCGCGGCUCAACCGCGCCCCGCAGUUGAAACUGGACGCCUUGAGUUCACCACAGGCAGGCGGAAUUCUUGUUGUAGCGGUGACAUGCAUAGCUAUCACG